RNAcentral lists this long non-coding RNA (1659 nucleotides) under Pan troglodytes (chimpanzee). RNAcentral's name for it is "lncRNA (ENSPTRG00000053286.1)". Lineage: Eukaryota; Metazoa; Chordata; Mammalia; Primates; Hominidae. The record is from RNAcentral.
GUCUCCGUGCAUGGUCUCUCUUGGUAUUCUGUAAUUUAAAUUGAAAGUUGCUCUAAGUGUAUAAACAGUACCCUUAUAAUAUUAUGUACCAAAGGAAAAUAAGAAUACUAGCAAGAUAAAAUUAACUGCCAGCUUCUAUCCAACAUGUUUAGGAUGACAACAGCACAAGGAAUAUGGUAUCUGGCAUAUGAGGGAGCACCCUGAACAGUGUUCAGGAGGGACUGCCUCAUGUAGCUUUUCUUUUCUGCUCUUCUAAGCUUGUUGAUUAUUUUUCAAGUCAUAAAAUAAAUCCCCAAACUCUUCCCACAGGCUUCCUGUUAUGGCAAUGGAAAGGAUUCUAGGAAAGGAUGCCAACAGGCCAGAUGUCAUCUUUUUUGGUGGGCUGUACACAUCAGACUGGACUUGCCUUAAAUGAGAUUCAGACAAUCCUUUUUGCCAAAUGCCCAACAAGAAAGGAGCAGUUAUGCAGAACUUGUGGUAGAAGGAGGGAAACUGAGGACCUUAGACAUCUCCGUCUGAUGAGUAACUGCUACCAGUCACAGCUUGGAGAGCUGGACACUUCACCACUCAGGUAUGGAAGGUGAAGGCCAUGUUUUUAUCCUAUUAAUUGCUUGUUUUUUAAAAGAAUUGCUGUUUUUGGAUAAAUUGAAAUCAAAGUUUCAAUCUCAGGUCAACAGAUGUCUGAAAAUAACAGCAAGAAAGAAAUGAAAAAGAAUCUCCCACAGAGGUAUGUUAUAUCAUUUCCCCGCAAGUCUUUUAACACAGGGUGGAUGAACAGCUCUCUAGCAUUAUGUGAAUGGGAGGCUGCCUAAAGGAAGGGAAAUGGGUUGGAUAAUUUGGGGACUCCCUCAGCUAAUUUAGAAAAUUCUCUGUUUUUUUCAAUGGUGUGGGUUCUUGGAAGAAAAUGAAGAGCAUGGGGAAGAAUCCUCAAGAGAUUGCAAGCUUUGAUCAAGUGUGCUCCUAAAGGGAAACAUUAAAGACAGUCUUUAAAACAAACAAACAAAAAACAAAUAAAAAGCCUAUUCUGAAAGUCCAUAUUAAAUUCUUAUUUAUAGAUACUAAUAGAUGGUAGCUCAUGGAGUUAGGGGCAAAGAGAGGUGCUUAGGAAAGGUCUGCUUCUAUCAGAAAAGGUAUGAUUUAAAAUAUUAUAAUUUAAUUUUAACCUAAUGCUCUUUUUGCAAAUAUCUUCCACCACCUUCUCUAAACUCAGAGCUCCCUAGUAUAAACAGUUUUCUGUGCUUGUUAUAGUAGAGUUACCUCAGGUCUCCAGGUCUCACUGGCCCAGGGAGGACAACAAAGCCAUUGCCAAACAAAGGUACAGUAAUGCCCAGAAUGCUCAUUGUAUUAAAUUCCUUCCAUCUGAUUAAGAGGACACUGGGGAGUCUCCUUUGUCCUCCUGAAAACCAUGAUGCUCUAUGCCCAUGCUGUAUGGAAUGUAUUAUUUUCUCUUUAAUUCCUAAUACGCUGUUCCCUGAUCACUGCAUUGGCAGCCUUGAGCUCUAAGUUUUCUUUCCUAGAGCUUUUAAAAUGUUUAUUUAUUUGACCCAAACUUUACUAGAGAUUCUAAUUCCAGAUUAAGGGCCUUGACUUCAGUAACCAGAUUCAACAGAUAAAAUACUGGAUCCCCCAUUAAAUUUGAAUUUUAGGUAAACAUUGACU